UCUGGAGCGGUUGCCGCCGUGGCGUAGGGUGGCACCUCCUUUCCUCUACCGCUUCGCCGACGCGCUCCGCCGCGGAACCCUCCUCCGCGGCCCCAGCGGCCACUUGCCGGACCUGCUGCCGACGGAGUACGUAUAGAAGUCGAAGGAGUCGGGCUAGGGUCUAUCCAUAUUGUGGCGGGAGCAAACGGUGUCUACCGCGAAGGACCGUACGGUAGGAGCCAAUACCAACGCACAACUCUCCGGUGAGUCUUUACAUUUCCUCGGACCUCAAAUAGGUUUAGAGCUCCGACGAUAAAGACGACGAUCCGGGCCACUGUGAUAAGAUUAACGACGGCCACCGUGGAUAGAACGUACAUUAUAGGUUUAUUUCUUCGGGGAAACGUAAUAACCGCCCCCACUCGAAGGACUACUGUGACAUAACUGUACAAGGGCACCGAGGCUGUUCAUACGAGGAAAGAAGCUAAAAUUUAAAGGGACAGAAAUAAAGAACGAUGACAAACCACAAAUGAUGGUUAGGAAUACACGACAGUAAUAUCAUCCGUCAUCGGGUAAAAAUGUUCUGACUCCAAGAGGACCUUGACUUUAGGCAGGGAAGCCAUGUGAAUUAUUUGGACUAAUACUUCAAAGGAUAGUUAAUGUAAUGGGGCGUACUACCGAUCCAACGAGAUACGGUUUAAACAAUUGAAAAAUGACCUCGGCUGGUGUCAAUAUUAAGAAGCAUAGUGUAUCGCCCAAAAAGACCUUCGUGAAAAAACGCAAAGAUAAAAAACCAUUAUUUGGUUAUCAUUCAACUUUCGUCACCAUCUCAGAGAGAUGAACACCGGAACUCUAGGACCCAAACUUGGUCGGAGGAACGUCUUAAUAAUAAUACGUUCCCAUUCCGACAGAUCUUUAAGGGAAAGGGCCUAGGGUGGAACACACCCUCGAAUGUCGUGACCCAUGUGGGAAAAUAUCAACUUUCUGGAAAAAACGGUAUACGACACCAUCUUUAUCUUUCAAAGGCUCUAUGUGUACGGAAAUCUAACAAGUUUUGAUUGUUAAACCUUAGAACUUUGACUCUUAAAUAUAGAAGACCUAGGACCUCCUAAUACCCAAAUAUCAAGGAAGUGAACACUUACAAACAGACAUUUGAUUCCACCAUCACGUUCAAGUCAAACACUUACAAGCAGUCAUUCGAUUCCUUCAUGUUCAGAUGUUUGACGAUACACAAGGGAUAGAUAAGUGGACACGGUAUAGGAGUGUAGCAGAGUACAGAAACACACGAUUUGAUAGACGCGUCACGUGACCUCAAGGAAAGGUGCACGUUCUAGCGGUUAGAAUGAUAGUUCCGCCUCGAGCCUACGACGGACGAAGUGGCUUCGCCGUUCGAUUGAUAAGUCCUCACGAACGAGGUCACGCUCGGUUUGGGAGACCUGAUGGACAGGAAGGGCUAUCAGUCGUGCCGCUAGCUUAUGUUAGGUAAUAGUAGCAGCGAGUUCCUCGUCGUCCCCGUGCCGCACUGCCAGCAGGCGUGGGCCUAGCUUCCGCCGCGGUUCCGCCAGGCCUGGUUGCCCUGGGACCGCGACGUCGCGCACGCCCGGUAGAUGCGGGCGUCCAGGCAGAAGAAGACCAAGCUCCAUCCCCUCUUCGACCUUGGGGACACUUUGGUCAUUCGACAACCUAGGACAUUAGAGUAAGUUGGAUGGCAACUCUCGUUUGAGAACAUACUACAGACAAAGUACCGACAACAUUGUAGACUGUUACUAUUUAACAUGACGACGAAUAACUGUAAAAAACUUAGCAGUACCUCGUAACACAACGGGGAAUGUUUUACUUCACUUAGACUUAAUCUUUCAGCAAAAAGUGCGCAUGGAAACCG
Molecule: ribosomal RNA, 1858 nt
Filed under: Triticum aestivum (bread wheat)
Lineage: Eukaryota; Viridiplantae; Streptophyta; Magnoliopsida; Poales; Poaceae
Description: partial small subunit ribosomal RNA
Source: RNAcentral